Molecule: long non-coding RNA, 401 nt
Filed under: Cyanistes caeruleus (blue tit)
Lineage: Eukaryota; Metazoa; Chordata; Aves; Passeriformes; Paridae
Description: lncRNA (ENSCCEG00000000173.1)
Source: RNAcentral
ACUGAUUUUCUUCCUGCUGGAGAGGUGCAAGCCAUGGUAUUUAGGUUUCUGUGAAUCCUUCUGAUUCACAGGGAGAGAUGAAAUGGUGCUGUUCAAACAUCCAUGAAGAAGUGAUGGGGAAGAGAGCCCUUCUUUGAUGGCAAUGAAACAAAAGGGAAGAAAAAUCAAGAGUAACUGACAAGAAGAUAACUGCUCCAGCUCCUCAGAAGUACCCUUUACAGACACUACUUUGAAUGCUACUUGACAAGGAUUCAGAAAUGUUAUACUUGAGCAGUGUGGCAUUGGGAAGGAAGGUUAAUGCUCUCCAUGUGAAAAUUUGAAGAAGCUGAUAAAAGAAAUCAGUGAGAUUAUCCUGUCUCUAUCUUUUUUAUUAUUAUACUAUUAUUAUUACUUUUUUUGUG